RNAcentral lists this ribosomal RNA (345 nucleotides) under uncultured bacterium. RNAcentral's name for it is "bacterial SSU rRNA". It matches the Rfam family "Bacterial small subunit ribosomal RNA", at positions 1 to 334 of the family's 1533-position model. The record is from RNAcentral.
GUGAGUAGUUCAGAGUUUGAUCCUGGCUCAGGAUGAACGCUAGCUACAGGCUUAACACAUGCAAGUCGAGGGGCAGCGGGAGAAAGCUUGCUUUUCUUGCCGGCGACCGGCGCACGGGUGAGUAACGCGUAUCCAACCUACCCUCCAGCAGGGGAUAGCCCGUAGAAAUGCGGAUUAAUACCCUAUGCGGUCGUUUUGUGGCAUCAUGUUACGACCAAAGACUCGUCGCUGGCGGAUGGGGAUGCGUAUGAUUAGGUAGUAGGCGGGGUAACGGCCCACCUAGCCAUCGAUCAUUAGGGGUUCUGAGAGGAAGGUCCCCCACACUGGUACUGAGACACGGACCAG